UCAUGGCUCAGAACGAACGCUGGCGGCGCGCCUAAUACAUGCAAGUCGAGCGAGAAGGUGUAGCAAUACACUUGUAAAGACGGCGAACGGGUGAGGAAGUGCAUGGGUAACCUACCCUCGAGUGGGGAAUAACUAGCCGAAAGGUUAGCUAAUACCGCAUACGUUUCCGGAACUUCGGUUUCGGAAAGAAAGCAAUACCGUGGGUAUUGCGCUCCUGGAUGGGCUCAUGUCCUAUCAGCUUGUUGGUGAGGUAACGGCUCACCAAGGCUUCGACGGGUAGCUGGUCUGAGAGGACGAUCAGCCACACUGGCACUGCGACACGGGCCAGACUCCUACGGGAGGCAGCAGUAAGGAAUAUUGCGCAAUGGACGAAAGUCUGACGCAGCGACGCCGCGUGGGGGAUGAAGGUCUUCGGAUUGUAAACCCCUUUCGGGAGGGAAGAUGGAGUGGGUAACCACUUGGACGGUACCUCCAGAAGCAGCCACGGCUAACUUCGUG
This 498-nucleotide ribosomal RNA is filed under the name uncultured bacterium. RNAcentral describes it as "bacterial SSU rRNA". It matches the Rfam family "Bacterial small subunit ribosomal RNA", at positions 17 to 507 of the family's 1533-position model. The record is from RNAcentral.